RNAcentral lists this long non-coding RNA (1054 nucleotides) under Vulpes vulpes (red fox). RNAcentral describes it as "lncRNA (ENSVVUG00000005263.1)". Lineage: Eukaryota; Metazoa; Chordata; Mammalia; Carnivora; Canidae. The record is from RNAcentral.
AUGAUUGAAGUGGAUUCGCGAAAACAACCGCACGGUUGCUGUGGAAACGAGAGAGCCACAGCCGAGUCUCUAAGCCCUUCCCUUCCAGGGCCCCAGCCGGGGGUGGGGAUGGAAGAGGGGAUGAGUCACAAGAUGGGACCCCCUCCGUGUCCCAUCCGAAACGGGAGGAGGGCGACGAGGAGCUGCCGAGUAGCGGAGCGGGGUUGGGGAGAGCUGGGGGGGGCGGCCCACGCCUUCCUCGCCCCCGCAGCACACCCGCCGCACGGAGCGGAGGUGGGGGCGCCCGAGCGCAGCCCUACUGGCCCCACGCUCGUCGUGGGCCCCCGACAGCCCCUAACGCCCGUCCUCUCCAGACAGGCCUUGCUUGUUGCUCACGGAGCCCCCACCCCAGGGGGGCCGCUCGGGAUCUCCUCCAGAGGGUCCCGCUGCCUGCCCCGCGGACCCUCCUUUCCCCACCCUCCCACCUUCCCGUCCCGCAGACGGAGCCGGUCCCCAGCCGCCGCCAGUCUCCAGUCUCCGGCCUCGGAUGUUGACACAAGCCCGAGGCGGUUUACACUGAGAACUGUCCCAUUCCCUCUGGAACCUGUUUUGCGGUGGCGUUCUCCCGGCUGCAGGCUGUCUCCUCUCUGGAGCCCUCACAGGAUGACAGCAGUACCUGGGCCUCCAGUUAGCUGGCACCUCCCUGGCCCCUUGGCUGAUGAUUCACAGGAACAGGUCUCCUACUUAUGUCUCCCAUUGGCCAAACCCAACUGGAAGUCAGAGGGCAAAGAAGCCCAACUGAUGCAGUCCCCAGCAACCUCCUAGAGUGGCACCCAGAGGGUAGAGAGUGGAGAAAAGCAGAACACAAACCUAAUAGGACUAGAUAAUAUCUGUAUCCAUACCUAUCUAUAUAUACAUGUUACAUAUUUGUAUGUAAAAUAUCUAUAUAUCAAUCCAGGUGCAUAGGCUUUCAAGUUAGAUAGCUCUUGAACAAGUGUCUUAAUCGCUCUGCAAUUCAGUUUCCCAGUCUGUAAAUGGGAAUAAUAAAAAGAAGUACUUAUUGUGUGAGGCUCCA